CUGCGCCACGACGGGAACUCCUCCAGUGGAUCUUAACAUGUGCAUUUCUCUGUUAGCAGACACUGCUUCAGAGAUUAUGGCACUUAAAACCAGGAGUUAGGGAGUUCCCUGGUGGUGUAGCAGGUUAAGGAUCUGGUACUGCUGCUGCUAUGGCUCAGGUUGCUCUGUGGCUUGCGUUCAACCCCUGGCCUGAGAACAUCUGCAUGCCAUGCAAUAAACAAACAAACAAAAACAACCCCAAAACCAGGAGUUAGGAAGACUGGAUUCUCCUCUAAAUUGGCUUUGGGAGCCCCCAAAGUUACGAAGCUUAUCUCCUAGCCCUUUCAACUAGAAAAUUCUUCCACUCUCAAUUGUUCCUCAGGCCUGAGUUCUCUAUCCUCCACACAGUUGGCUUUCCUUGUUACUGGUAGGACUUGCCACAGAAUGGGGACCUGCCCUGUGCUGGCCAGUCUACCAGCUGCCUUAUCUUCUGCCCUGUUAGUCAGUAGUUAGACUCAUAUUUCUUCCUAUUUACUUCUCCCCAGAUCCUUCAAUCAGUCAUUUUAGUAGUAGUUUUUGAGUGCCAGGUAUGUGUGGGACCUAAUUUCUGGGUAUAAAUGAAGAAGCUUAAAAUAUUUGUGUUUUCUGACCUUCUAGGCCUUAGGGUCCCAUGUGAGUGAGGCAGACAAUAAAUGAGAAAAACGUUAAAAAUUGUAAAAUGAAGAAGGGCUGUGGAGGAGACCAACACAGGCUUUCUUUAUGCCCAUAGUGUUCUCCAAAGCUCCAGCUGCAGCUCUUGUAGCUGAAUGUAAAUUUGGCCUUGAGUUUGAGACCAGGUAAUCCUGGUACCUGCAAACUGCAGAAUCUACAUUUCCACAGCCAUGACCUUUGAGAGGCUCUUCAAGGUCAGAUAUGCAUGAGAAGGUUGAGCAGGAAUGUGGCAUCUCUUAGGUUUCCUGAACAUUCAAAACAUAUUAUGUGUAGGAUACUGUUUCAUAAAAGGUAUAGAUAGGCCCAUUAUUUUCAAUCUUUCUCUCUCUUACAUACCUCAAAAUGCAUUUUUUUAAAUACUGUACCCCAUUUAUUCAGUCUUCAUGAUUCAUACAGUCGAGGUUUCCAGUUUCUGGAACCUCUGAGACCUAAGUUAUACAUUGGCCCUUUAAGAGGAACUCAUUAACUCCUAGUUAAGGAGAAGAUUCCAGAAAGGUGCGGAGAGACAAGCCAAAGAUCAGCUGGAACCAAUGAAUGACAACCCUCUAGCUCCCAAAGCCAGUUUGGGUUUGCAGGCUCCUGGAGUAGCCGGUUCUUAAGGUGUUUUUCAGUCCAUCCCUGCUUUUUGGUGAAAGUUCUAGCUUGGAGUUGGUUUUGUGGCUGGGUUCUUCGUGGUCAGCAACUGUGCAGCAUGGGGGCAAUAAUCUUGCAAGCAAACAGCAAGAGAGCGCAAAAUUGAAGAGCCUCGAGGGGCUGGUUCCUGAGCAACCAAGAGGAAGAGCCCUAGGAAAAGGUCCAGAGAGCUUCGGAGCCUUUGAAGGUGGGGAGAUUACCGGAAUUUAGGAGGCGAAACAGACCUGCAGCUCAAGUUGAAAUGAUGGACAACUUGACCCUGACAAGGCCUUCCAAUAAUUUGAGAUGCUGUUGGCUGUCUGGAGGGUAAGGAUGGUGGCCAGCAAGUUCUGGAGCUACCCACAUUCUUCUAGCUUGACAUCCCACAGGAAAGAGAGCCUUGUUUUAGCAUCGCCAGCAAUAGCUCCAAGGUUUGUUCCUUCCGAAUCAACUAUGUAGACCUUCGAACAUAACUCUGUAUAGCUGUGAAAACCUGAUUACUUGAUUGGCUUAGAUCUUAGUCAAAUGCUCUAUACAGAGAGAGAGGUAAGAGCUUUAACCAGACUAUCUGCAGUAGAGGUGGGAGAAUCCGGGAGGAAGCAGCCCCUCCAUAAAUAGCAGAGUUGUUGCCAAAAGAGGAAAGAGUAGUCACAGAGGUACCCACUAUGUCUUUCUUAAUACGGGAAGUACGAUUGAAUCUUAUUCAUAUGGCAAUUCUUUCAAAAGGUUGUGUUCAUUUUCAGUCAGUGAUGGUUCACCUCUUUAAACAGCUGUAAAUGUCAAAAUUAUAAUUUUAACCUUUUGUUGAAAAUUUUAUGGUACUUUAUUAUAUCUUAAAUGAUAAUCAUAUCAUCUAUGUUCUUAUUACUUCAGAGUAAUCGUUAGGAGUCUCUGUUGUUGCAGUAAGUUACAUUCCAAUAUAAUUAGGGUCUUUGAGAAAUACAGGGCUGUUGGCUUUUUAAAAAUU
Molecule: non-coding RNA, 2269 nt
Organism: Sus scrofa (pig)
Lineage: Eukaryota; Metazoa; Chordata; Mammalia; Artiodactyla; Suidae
Source: RefSeq, a predicted model, not a curated record